This 253-nucleotide ribosomal RNA is filed under the name uncultured bacterium. RNAcentral describes it as "partial 16S ribosomal RNA". It matches the Rfam family "Bacterial small subunit ribosomal RNA", at positions 524 to 776 of the family's 1533-position model. The record is from RNAcentral.
GACAGAGGGUGCAAACGUUGUUCGGAAUUACUGGGCGUAAAGCGCGUGUAGGCGGCCCGGAAAGUCGGAUGUGAAAGCCCCGGGCUCAACCCGGGAAGUGCACUCGAUACUGCGUAGCUUGAGUCUCGGAGAGGUUGGUGGAAUUCUCGGUGUAGAGGUGAAAUUCGUAGAUAUCGAGAGGAACACCGGUGGCGAAGGCGGCCAACUGGACGAAGACUGACGCUGAGACACGAAAGCGUGGGGAGCAAACAGG